GCUCAUGAAAAGAAUAUUAGUUCCACCUAAAGUUGUUUAACCACUGNNGAAUGCUUAACUUUAGAGUAACUCAAAUAGGGUACAGCCUAUUUGAGACAGGACACAACCUAAUCUGGCGGGUAAUCCACACGACCCUAUAACCAAGUAGGCCUAAAAGCAGCCACCUUUAGAAAUGCGUCAGAGCUUAACUUCCCGGGCUAAAUAUUCCAUAAACCCUUCAAACCCCCUCCUAAUAAUGAGCUCUUCUAUAAAAUAUAGAAAAAAUAAUGCUAAGACUAGUAACAAGAAGAAACAACCCUUCUCUUUCAUGCAAGCAUAGCCCAGCCCCGGAUAACCCGCUGGCAAUUAACCGCCGUGAGCCUUUAAUGGCAACACCCCUUUUCUCGAGAGACCCCCAUUAACACAUCCUGUUAACCUAACACAAGAGCAUGAUAAGAAAGAUUUAAAGAGUGGGAAGGAACUCGGCAAAUUAAAAUCCCGCCUGUUUACCAAAAACAUCGCCUCCUGACUAAACAUANNNNNNNNNNNNNNNNNNNNNNNNNNNNNNNNNNNNNNNNNNNNNNNNNNNUGCAAAGGUAGCGCAAUCACUUGUCCUCUAAAUAAGGACUCGUACGAACGGCAUCACGAGAAUUUAACUGUCUCCCCCCCCUAAUCCGUGAAACUAAUCUCCCUGUGAAAAAGCAGGGAUGAACCCAUAAGACGAGAAGACCCUAUGGAACUUCAAACAAAUAACACCUGCUCAUCACUAAUCUCCUUCCCGAACUGCAACCCCCAUGAGCAUACUGAUUAUAAGUUUUUGGUUGGGGCGACCGCGGAGAAAAACUUAUCCUCCAUGAUGGAACAAACCCGAUUUAAAAUCAUAAGUUACAACUUUUCUAAUCAACAAAUUGACGUUAUUGACCCAAACUUUUUGAUCAACGAAACAAGCUACCCUAGGGAUAACAGCGCAAUCUACUUCAAGAGUACAUAUCGACAAGUAGGCUUACGACCUCGAUGUUGGAUCAGGGUUCCCUGGUGGCGCAGCCGCUACAAAGGUUCGUUUGUUCAACGAUUAAAACCCUACGU
Molecule: ribosomal RNA, 1065 nt
Filed under: Craugastor emcelae
Lineage: Eukaryota; Metazoa; Chordata; Amphibia; Anura; Craugastoridae
Description: partial 16S ribosomal RNA
Rfam family: Bacterial large subunit ribosomal RNA
Source: RNAcentral